ACUACGGGCGGCUGCAGUGGGGAAUAUUGCACAAUGGGCGCAAGCCUGAUGCAGCCAUGCCGCGUGUGUGAAGAAGGCCUUCGGGUUGUAAAGCACUUUCAGCGGGGAGGAAGGCGGUGAGGUUAAUAACCUCAUCGAUUGACGUUACCCGCAGAAGAAGCACCGGCUAACUCCGUGCCAGCAGCCGCGGUAAUACGGAGGGUGCAAGCGUUAAUCGGAAUUACUGGGCGUAAAGCGCACGCAGGCGGUCUGUCAAGUCGGAUGUGAGAUCCCCGGGCUCAACCUGGGAACUGCAUUCGAAACUGGCAGGCUAGAGUCUUGUAGAGGGGGGUAGAAUUCCAGGUGUAGCGGUGAAAUGCGUAGAGAUCUGGAGGAAUACCGGUGGCGAAGGCGGCCCCCUGGACAAAGACUGACGCUCAGGUGCGAAAGCGUGGGGAGCAAACAGGAUUAGAUACCCGAGUAGUC
This 465-nucleotide ribosomal RNA is filed under the name uncultured Klebsiella sp. RNAcentral describes it as "bacterial SSU rRNA". It matches the Rfam family "Bacterial small subunit ribosomal RNA", at positions 338 to 795 of the family's 1533-position model. The record is from RNAcentral. Lineage: Bacteria; Pseudomonadati; Pseudomonadota; Gammaproteobacteria; Enterobacterales; Enterobacteriaceae.